GUAGGGAAUCUUGCGCAAUGGGCGAAAGCCUGACGCAGCCAUGCCGCGUGAAUGAUGAAGGUCUUAGGAUUGUAAAAUUCUUUCACCGGGGACGAUAAUGACGGUACCCGGAGAAGAAGCCCCGGCUAACUUCGUGCCAGCAGCCGCGGUAAUACGAAGGGGGCUAGCGUUGCUCGGAAUUACUGGGCGUAAAGGGAGCGUAGGCGGAUAGUUUAGUCAGAGGUGAAAGCCCAGGGCUCAACCCUGGAAUUGCCUUUGAUACUGGCUAUCUUGAGUGUGGAAGAGGUAUGUGGAACUCCGAGUGUAGAGGUGAAAUUCGUAGAUAUUCGGAAGAACACCAGUGGCGAAGGCGACAUACUGGUCCAUUACUGACGCUGAGGCUCGAAAGCGUGGGGAGCAAACAGGAUUAGAAACCCGGGUAGUCC
Molecule: ribosomal RNA, 425 nt
Filed under: uncultured bacterium
Lineage: Bacteria
Description: partial 16S ribosomal RNA
Rfam family: Bacterial small subunit ribosomal RNA
Source: RNAcentral